Molecule: ribosomal RNA, 447 nt
Filed under: uncultured bacterium
Lineage: Bacteria
Description: bacterial SSU rRNA
Rfam family: Bacterial small subunit ribosomal RNA
Source: RNAcentral
UCGGGAAUUUUGGGCAAUGGGCGAAAGCCUGACCCAGCAACGCCGCGUGAAGGAUGAAGUAUUUCGGUAUGUAAACUUCGAAAGAAUAGGAAGAAUAAAUGACGGUACUAUUUAUAAGGUCCGGCUAACUACGUGCCAGCAGCCGCGGUAAUACGUAGGGACCAAGCGUUGUUCAGAUUUACUGGGCGUAAAGGGCGCGUAGGCGGCAAUUCAAGUCAUCUGUGUAAUCUCCGGGCUUAACUCGGAACGGUCAGAUGAUACUGCUUUGCUAGAGUGCAGAAGGGGCAAUCGGAAUUCUUGGUGUAGCGGUGAAAUGCGUAGAUAUCAAGAGGAACACCUGAGGUGAAGACGGGUUGCUGGGCUGACACUGACGCUGAGGCGCGAAAGCCAGGGGAGCAAACGGGAUUAGAUACCCAUGUAGUCCCUGAGCGGGCUGGCAAGGCGCAU